This 5379-nucleotide long non-coding RNA is filed under the name Macaca mulatta (Rhesus monkey). RNAcentral describes it as "lncRNA (ENSMMUG00000055791.1)". Lineage: Eukaryota; Metazoa; Chordata; Mammalia; Primates; Cercopithecidae. The record is from RNAcentral.
GUAUAAAGACUAGGUUUCACCAUGUUGGUUAGGCUGCUCUUAAACUCCUGACCUUAAGUGAUCCACCCACCUCGGCCUCCCAAAGUGCUUCGAUUACAGGCAAGAGCCACUGCAACCAGCCGAACAGGCAGUAAAUUUUUACAUGUAUAUGUAGCUUUUAGAUUAGUGCAGUAGGGCUUCAGUUCACAUUGAUAGGCUGAAUGAGUAAUAUGGAUAUUAUUACUCCAAUUUUUCAGAUGAAAUUAAUACUCAGAGAGAUUGAAUAAGCUGCUCACUUUCUCAAAGCUAGUUGCUGUAAGAGUUAGGAUAAAUGACCUAUUUCUUUUCUUUUAUUUUUUUUUUAUCCUAUGUACAGUCAUUCCUAAUCAAUAACAUACUUCUAACUCCACUGUGCCCUAAGGGCUUCUCUAAAGCAUGUAGCAUGAUACUGAGCACACAGUAGGCCUUCAACAGUUGCCACUAUUGAUGUCACUCGUCAGUGGUGUGUUAUUAGUUUAUUACUGCCUUAUGAUAAACUUCUCCAUUGGCUUGCAGGUACAGAGAGCAACUCUGCUGCUGCUCCUCCAGAGUGCGGCAUCAUCUUCCUGCUCUUCCUUCCAUUUGCUCGAUUGGCUCCUACUCCUCUCCCACUGAAGAAACUGUAGCUUUCCCCAGGGCUUAGGCCCAAGCCCUGCUGAACCUCUAUCUCUGUGUGUUUGUCUGCAUGUCUGCAAUUACUUCAACUCAAACUGUACCCACCAACGACAAGACCCUUAGAAACUGCCAAAUCCUCAUUGCUGAGUGGUUUCCGUACUGCUACUGCUGCAGAAAAAGAAGAAAAAGUCACAUCCUUCUCACCAAAAACUAAAGGGGGAAACACAGAACCAGGGAAAUUCUGUAAGCAAUGGUGAACUGUUUAUUCAGGGCUCCAACUCUGCUCUUGCACCUGUGCCCUGCUGUGGCACAGUCUAUAGUUUUGAACUUUGUAUAGUACAAUGCUCAGCAAGAAGAAGAAGUUACCUUCUGGUCUGAGAGCCUCCUGACCAGUCUUGUCAGACUGAAAGAUAUUGGCUUUGCUCUAUCAAGGUGGCUUCUGUCCUGUGCUAAAUGACUUUAUAUUAUUGAUAUGUAAGCUUCUGAGAGACUUAUUUAGACUUCAGUAUCACUGGCCGUUAGAUGCCAGUGAUGUGUGGUGAAGUUGCUCAGGGUGUGAAGCCAGAGAAUUUAUGAGAAUCCAAGUGUUCAGACCUACUUCCCAACUCCAGCACCCAAGAAAUGGGCCUCUAAAGUAAAGAGCUUUGCAACUGUUGCUACUGCUGUAUCACAGUCCCAUACUGAGAGAGUCAAGCUUAUAGAUUUUGGACCUACUGUAUAGAAAUCUCAGAUCGUUUUGUGGCUCCAGAACUAUGUCUAGAGUGGUCUUAACCUUUCUGAGCCUCCUUCCAGACAAGUAAAUUGGGAUAAGGUUACCUGCCUCAUGGUGUUGUUAUAAAGUCAAAAUGAGAUAAAGUAUAUGAAUUGCUUAUAGUGAGUGUUAAGAAAUGGUGCCCAUUAUUAUUGAAACAAGAGGACCUCUGAAAGAAUGCAAAGUCAAUGCCUACUGGCUCUUUUGGUCAGUUGGCUGAGAAGAGCAUGUGAGGUCAUAAAGCCAAAGUCCAAAGGGAGCUGAAUUCUCCCUGCCUGCAAGAGAGGUCAAGAAUGUGGUGUAGUUGGUUAAGUUGUGAAGGUUCCACAUGAUUAUACAGAACUUGCAGGCCUUCGUCAAUUUUCCCAUAAUGAUUAAGUCUUUCAAAAUAAAAAAGAUCUUACGCAUAUACUUCAUACAGCAAAAGAGACUGGGAAAUUGGGGGAAGGUGUCAAUAAUAGCCAAUGACUACAUAUUUCAGAUACUGUGUUAAGUCCUUUACUUGUGUUUCCUCAUCUAAUUCCUUGUCUUCCAUGGCAGAUCUAAGCAUUCCCUCCUUCCAGGCGCCUGGGUCUUCCUGGCACUAUGAAUUGAAUAAAUUAUUACUCCUAUCUUAGAAACAAAAGGAAAUGAUGGAUCAGCAAGGCUAAGUAAUUUGCCCAAAGUUACACAGCAAGUUGGUGGUACUGAAACCAACAUUGUAUGGUUCUGGCAUCUUUCCUUCAUAUCUGGGAAAGGGAAGGCCAGGGAGCCUGUUUUUCCUGAAGAAAGAAGACAGGACCAUCACACUGAGGAAGCCAAGAAAAGCAGUGCAGGAAAAGCCGGGCAAGUGCAGUGUUCCAAGAGAUGUAACCAGAGAAAAAUCUGUGAAGUUUCCUCACAGGGACUUUCUCUGGGUGGAUUCUAGAUUCUGGGAAGCCUUGGGCUUCCCAAGAAGUUUUUGGCAGCACCUGGUCCAGUCAAACUACAUACUCAAUACCCAGAAGAGAGAGAGGAGAAAAUCAAGAACGGACAGUUUGUUGCCUGGUGGCCUGGGAAGGUCCCCAUAUUGAAAAAAUUCAAAGUAGACUAAACAGUGCAAAGACUUUUCUUUUUCAUGUCAACAUUGCAGAGGUUAGCCAGAAAUUAAAGCAGAGGAGGUUAGGAAGAGACAGGAAGUAGAGAGAGGAAGGAAGUGCUUUUCUCCCCACCACCGUCUUCUCUCUAGAAACAUGUUUGAAUAAAUUGGAGACAUUCUCCAGUCAUUGCUGCCCAAUGGAGCUUUCCAGUGACAAAAGGCUCAGGUGUGGGCUGGUUACACAAAGGAUCUGAAAUAAUGCUCAAGGGCCCUGUGCUUGCUGGUCCUACCUUCUUGGAGUCCUGAAGACUGAAGUGAGGCACAGGAAGAAUUGGAAAAGAUGCAUUUACCUUCAACAGACAGGAUCCCGUAAUAAGAUUUCUGAAAUGAGAGAGAGAGAAACAGAGAAGCCAGACUUUCCACUAGGUACCUCAGAAACAAGAGGAACACAGCAAAAAAUAAGGAUGGACUCUGAUAUUCAGUGUCCAGUGAUGGCCUCUUCAGUGAGGAUUAGCGGCCCCCUCGGCCGGGUGGUGGCUCACACCUGUAAUCCUAGCACUUGAGGAGGCUAAGGAGUUCGAGACCAGUCUGGGCAACACAGUGAGAUCUUGUCACUAUUUUUAAAAAAAAAAAGAAGAAAGAAAGAAAGAAAAAAGGAUUAACAGCCCACUUAACUCAUGUACUAUUUGAUACAUUAUUUUCCAAUAUUGUCAGAUACUGGGAGCUUGUUCUCAUCUCUACUAAUCUUUAUCUCUUCAAAGCCCUACCAAUCAAUUCCUUUAAUACCUAGCUCAGAGGUGACAUUCCUGGUGAAUCCUGCCCUGCAUACUUAAUUAAUCCUCCAUUUGAGCUCUAGGUGCCUUUUAAUAGCCAAACUUUCUUAUAUGUCAUGUAAAGUUAUUCUUAAAUUAUUGAGCCAAUAAAUUUAAAUUUACUUAGAAAACACAACUUUGACAAAAAGAGAAAAAUGAGUCAGCUGUAAUGCUACUACCCAGAGAUAAACAGUUACUGUGGCCAUGUAUAUUUUCUCAGACUUUCUGGUGUCAACUAAAGAAAAAAAAAAUCAAGCUUGUAAAGAAUUAAAGGUAGUUGUAUUUAGAAGUCUUACUGAGGACUAUAGACUGAGGCCUAGAGCCUGAGAACAGUCCUUCAAAGAGGUUCUGUCAGACUGCUCUGAAAUAGUGUUUUAGCUCAGUUUAUAUAUGGGUUUUGGAGGUUUAGUACGUGUAAAAUCACAUCAAACGUGUGCAGAAGUUACAUUAAAGGAGAAUCACACCGAAGUUUGGGUGUAAGAGUACAGCUGGUUACAGAUUACAGAGGCGUCAUCACUAACCCCAUCAGAUGUUACCUUACGUGUAAGAAAAGGCAGGGAAUAGGGUCAUUUAUCUUUUAAGGAACUUAGUGACUCAGGCAAGAGACACUGUGGGGCCAUGUGCUCUAUCUUGCUUUGCCUUCAAAGCAUCUUUCUGGAGAGCUGCACGUCGUCAGAGUUAAACUUUGUGAAAUUAUGCUGGCAAGCAGAAAUGAACAGACAUGCCUCCUUACAUUUGCUAUGUUGUCUCACACUGGUUUUCUUUUUCUUACUGUUUCAUCAAGCAACUUUUCUUCCAUUUAGCAAAAUAUCAUAAGCAUCUUUUGUGUGUAUCUGUAUCUAUUUCUAUCUGUAUCAGUAUUUCUGAUACUUAGUAGUCCACAGCAUUUUUAAUAGCAUCAUUAUAGUACAUAUCAUAUUUUACUAUAGUUAAUCUUAAGUGGCUAGCAUCUACAUAGUGCUUACAAUGUACUGGGUCAUUCUCAGUACUUACAUGCAUCGAUCCAUUUAAUCUUUGUAAUCCCAGGUGGUUGGUCUAAUUACUACUAUCAUUCAAAUUUCACAGAUAAAGGAAUCUGAGGCAUAAAGGGCUUAAGUAAUUUUCCCAUGAUCAUACAGCUAGAGACUUUAGAGCUGUAAGAGCUAGAAUUUGUCCAGCUAGGCUGACUCCAGACUUUUAACUACUAUGCAAUACAACCUUAACAGUCUUUAACUGAACACCUAAUAAUUGGCAGUUUCUUCAAAUAUCUUAUCCUUUAACUCUGCAAGUUGCAAAGAGCAUGAGAAUUUUGUGUGGAAGCCACAUUUGCCUAAUCCUCAACCCCACCCACCACUACCACCACCGUGCUGUCCUUGCUAAUUAGCCAAGUAUCUGUCUUUCCUCUCCUUUGCUUACUCCCCAGAUCAUCAACUCCUUGAAGUCAGGUAAUGUGCAGCUUUCUUCAUUUUUAUAACUCCAGCACCUGGCAUAGUUCCUGGACUACAGUUACCAUGUAAUAAAUGUUGGAAGAAUAAAGGUCGGAAGGGGUUUGGUUUGACUGAUAAAAAGCAAGAAAAAUAUUUUUCAUGAAAAUAUCAGAUACCAAAUUCUAUUUAACACUGGUUUAAAUAGAAUUUGCAGACAUGAUCUGGAAUUUUCUUUGUGGACUUUGCUCUGUGACACAAAACAAAACAAAAAGCUUAAGUGCAACUUUGGAAAUCUCUAAACUUCUUCUGAGGUCUGUGGCCAGGGGAACCAACGUAAGCCAGUUAUGCUGUGGAUUGCUGCGGUUCUCUAAAAGGAGGUGUGAGUUUGGGCUAAUUCUCACCAACUUCCUACGCUUGGGACCUUUGUUCUUCUCUACUUUCUACCCCACUGUGGCAUGCUCUUUUUUGUAGGAGCUCAUUUUAUCUCAAUAUUCUUUUUCAAAACUUCCUUUUGUCUGGUGGUUGAUAUUAUAGCAACUGGCAAAUCACAUCUGUUUUUUCACAGCAAGUCUGGUGCUCUGCAAGUCACUUUGGACGACUUUUUUUUGAGACAGAGUUUCAUUCUUGUUACCCAGGCUGGAGUGGUACGAUCUCAGCUCACUGCGACCUCUGUCUCCCGGGUUCAAGCGAUUCUCCUGCCUCAGCCUCCCGAGUAGCUGG